This 220-nucleotide ribosomal RNA is filed under the name uncultured bacterium. RNAcentral describes it as "partial 16S ribosomal RNA". It matches the Rfam family "Bacterial small subunit ribosomal RNA", at positions 96 to 334 of the family's 1533-position model. The record is from RNAcentral.
UGGCGGACGGGUGAGUAACGCGUGAGAAUCUGCCUUCAGGACGGAGACAACAGUUGGAAACGACUGCUAAGCCCCGACGAACCGAAAGGGAAAAUAUUUAUAGCCUGAAGAUGAGCUCGCGUCCGAUUAGCUAGUUGGCGGAGUAAAAGCCCACCAAGGCGACGAUCGGUAGCUGGUCUGAGAGGACGAUCAGCCACACUGGGACUGAGACACGGCCCAG